ACCAAUGACCCGACUGAUCCGCUUGUCGGAGCCACUAGUCGACUAUUCAUUAAAAAGAAGACUUCUGUUCGUGUACACAUGACGUAGAUUUAGAGUUGGCUUUUGGCAGGCUGGAGGAUCGAGUGCUUUACUUAUGGACCUUGCUGCAAAUGAGAAGUCUGUUCAUGCAGAUUUCUUUAAUGAUUUUGAUGAUCUAUUUGAUGAUGAAGACUUAUCAUAACGUGUUUGGAGUCCAAUGGCUGUAAUGUUCUGUCAAUUCAUCAGAGACAAUUUUGUUGUCAGUGGAAAGAAAAUUUCAGCUGGUUCCAUUUUGCACAUGUGUUCAGUCAUUGUUGAUGUGGUCAUUGAAGCAUGUGAAGAGGCCGAUGGUGAAGGGAGGGGAGACAGUAUUGAUAAAACUAGUGUUGGUGGGUCUUGAACUUGCAAUGCUUAAAAUAAUAUAAAAUAAAGAAAUACAUAUUUUA
This is a long non-coding RNA of Haliotis rubra (blacklip abalone), 464 nucleotides long. RefSeq lists it as uncharacterized. The record is from RefSeq and is a predicted model, not a curated record. The transcript has 3 exons. Lineage: Eukaryota; Metazoa; Mollusca; Gastropoda; Lepetellida; Haliotidae.